Long non-coding RNA from Arachis duranensis, 1343 nucleotides. RefSeq lists it as uncharacterized. Lineage: Eukaryota; Viridiplantae; Streptophyta; Magnoliopsida; Fabales; Fabaceae. The transcript is spliced from 4 exons. The record is from RefSeq and is a predicted model, not a curated record.
CCCCAAAUUAAAACCCACUAACCCUAACCUUACCUCACCGCCACUCACUCUACUCUCUCUUAACACAUACAACCGUAUCAAACUCCUGCACCUAAGCCAUUCCAAUUUGCAAUUCCAUUUCAUUCAUAGAUUCCAUUAUUAAAUAAUGUCAUGAGAUGAUUUAGUUAAUUUCCCAAACCCAACAAUCCCUAAAGCCCCUCGAAUCUCACCACUCCAUUGAUUCAUGCAUUUUCCAAUUCGGUACAUGGAAGCCCUUCACCAACAAGCACCCUUGUCUCUCCGAAGGCAAAACCCCUUCUGUUCCAAUUGAUUUUUCCAAGCUUUCUCUUCUCGACGAUGAUUCCACUCCUAAACCCGUCAAUUCAUCAUCCUGCCAUCAUUACUACAUGAAGCUGUCGAACGGAGCUGAGGAAGAGAGAGGGACGAACUCGUGAGGGAGAAGGAGAAGAGGUUGUGCCGCCGCCGCUACGAGGGUCCGUCGCCGUCGCCAAAGCUCGCAAUGCCGUCGGAAAGCCAGCCGCGGUGAGAGAGAGAGCGCUCAUGAGGGUUAGAGCCGCGAGGAGUUGUGAACCGCCGCUGCUGACGGAGAAGAGAAGGAAUCCGAGAGGAGAGGAAGAGAAGCUGCGCCGCCUCCUCGCGCCAGUCAUCGUCACAAGCUCCGUCGCCACUGUUGGAGGUGGGUUGUUGAGCUUGUGUCGCCGGAAAAUGGCGUUGCCGUAGCUGAGGUCCAUUGCCGUUGUCGUUGCUGAGCUUCUGGCCACCGGGAACGGUGCUGUGGCCGCUGGAACCUUGGUUUGAGUCACUGCCGAUAGUCACUGAUAGAGGUUGAGUAUUGCCGCUAGUGUUGCCGCGGGGUUGCUGAAGCUGCUACUAGUUCUGAUUUUGUUAUCUUGGAUUGUAAUUGCUUUUAAUUCCUAUCCAAUUUGGAUUUUCCAUUUUGCUGCAACCAUGGCCAUUGCUGUGAAGACUAACAAUAUCACCGUUCCGGUUGCUGCCACUGUCGUUCCAGUUGCGUGAGAGUCGCAGCUGUUGCCAUGAACUAAAAGGAGAGGGAAUUAUCACAAUAAAUUUGUGCGAACUCGAUUAAUCGAGCUUUACCUUUUCAGGAACCGGAUGAAGAAGCAUUAAGAAGAAUUGUACUGCGUUUGGUUUAUAUGUUGUUAUAUUAAUUAGUUUAUUUUCUUCCCUCGUCUUUGUUAUUACAAAUUUGUAAGAGGGAUAGGAAUUGUAUGUUUUAUUUGUAUAUACUAUUAUGAGUUAGUAUAUAAAGAGUCUUGUAUAUGAAUCUAUGCUUGUUUGUAUUUUUUAUAAGAUUAGGUAUUAAUUUCCGGUUUUCAAAGAAA